AGUGAACGCUGGCGGCAGGCCUAAUACAUGCAAGUCGAACGGCAGCACAGCAGAGCUUGCUCUGUGGGUGGCGAGUGGCGGACGGGUGAGGAAUACAUGGGAAUCUGCCCAGUCGUGGGGGAUAACGUAUGGAAACGUACGCUAAUACCGCAUGCGCCCUACGGGGGAAAGCCGGGGACCGCAAGGCCUGGCGCGAUUGGAUGAGCCCAUGUUCGAUUAGCUAGUUGGCGGGGUAAAGGCCCACCAAGGCGACGAUCGAUAGCUGGUCUGAGAGGAUGAUCAGCCACACUGGAACUGAGACACGGUCCAGACUCCUACGGGAGGCAGCAGUAGGGAAUAUUGGACAAUGGGGGCAACCCUGAUCCAGCCAUGCCGCGUGAGUGAAGAAGGCCCUCGGGUUGUAAAGCUCUUUUGUCCGGAAAGAAAAGCAAUCGGUUAAUACCCGGUUGUUCUGACGGUACCGGAAGAAUAAGCACCGGCUAACUUCGUGCC
Molecule: ribosomal RNA, 492 nt
Filed under: uncultured bacterium
Lineage: Bacteria
Description: bacterial SSU rRNA
Rfam family: Bacterial small subunit ribosomal RNA
Source: RNAcentral